RNAcentral lists this ribosomal RNA (585 nucleotides) under uncultured bacterium. RNAcentral describes it as "partial 16S ribosomal RNA". It matches the Rfam family "Bacterial small subunit ribosomal RNA", at positions 355 to 1375 of the family's 1533-position model. The record is from RNAcentral.
UGGGGAAUUUUGGACAAUGGGCGAAAGCCUGAUCCAGCAAUGCCGCGUGUGUGAAGAAGGCCUUCGGGUUGUAAAGCACUUUUGUCCGGAAAGAAAUCCUUGGCUCUAAUACAGUCGGGGGAUGACGGUACCGGAAGAAUAAGCACCGGCUAACUACGUGCCAGCAGCCGCGGUAAUACGUAGGGUGCAAGCGUUAAUCGGAAUUACUGGGCGUAAAGCGUGCGCAGGCGGUUUGCUAAGACCGAUGUGAAAUCCCCGGGCUCAACCUGGGAACUGCAUUGGUGACUGGCAGGCUAGAGUAUGGCAGAGGGGGGUAGAAUUCCACGUGUAGCAGUGAAAUGCGUAGAGAUGUGGAGGAAUACCGAUGGCGAAGGCAGCCCCUGGGCCAAGUACUGACGCUCAUGCACGAAAGCGUGGGGAGCAAACAGGAUUAGAUACCCUGGUAGUCCACGCCCUAAACGAUGUCAACUAGUUGUUGGGGAUUCAUUUCCUUAGUAACGUAGCUAACGCGUGAAGUUGACCGCCUGGGGAGUACGGUCGCAAGAUUAAAACUUAAAUGAAUUGACGGGGUCAUAGCUGUUUCCU